AACGAACGCUGGCGGCGUGCCUAACACAUGCAAGUCGAACGUGAAAGUCCUUCGGGAUGAGUAAAGUGGCGCACGGGUGAGUAACACGUAGGUGACCUGCCGUUUAGAGGGGGAUAACCAGAAGAAAUUUUGGCUAAUACCGCAUACGAAGUACAAAUCUUAGAGUAGUACUUGAAAGAAUGCCUCUGUAUAUGCAUUUACUAAACGAUGGGCCUGCGGUGCAUUAGCUAGUUGGUGGGGUAAUGGCCUACCAAGGCGACGAUGCAUAUCCGGUCUGAGAGGAUGAUCGGACACACUGGAACUGAGACACGGUCCAGACUCCUACGGGAGGCAGCAGUGGGGAAUAUUGCACAAUGGGCGAAAGCCUGAUGCAGCGACGCCGCGUGAGGGAUGACGGCCUUCGGGUUGUAAACCUCUUUCAGCAGGGAAGAAGCGAAAGUGACGGUACCUGCAGAAGAAGCACCGGCUAACUACGUG
RNAcentral lists this ribosomal RNA (477 nucleotides) under uncultured bacterium. RNAcentral's name for it is "bacterial SSU rRNA". It matches the Rfam family "Bacterial small subunit ribosomal RNA", at positions 29 to 507 of the family's 1533-position model. The record is from RNAcentral.